AUGCGGCAGCUGUACCAAAACAACACACUUCCUUGGCUGUUGAUAGGGGAUCUAAAUGAGAUCCAAUAUUUGCAUGAGAAGGAAGGAGGAAACCCAAGGCCGCAACAGUACAUGACAGCUUUCCAACAAGCAACGGAAGAUUGUGAGCUACAGGACAUGGGGUAUAUAGGCGACAUAUUUACUUGGAGAAGGGGUCGUAUUCGAGAAAGACUGGACAGAGGGAUGGUGAAUGAUGAGUGGAGAAAUAUAUUUCCUAAUGCUGCCAUAGAGCAUGGCAAUUUUAACCACUCAGACCACAGGCCUUUAGUAGUGGAUACAGAAUAUUAUCUGAGAUCGAUCCCUAACCAGGGAGGACCAAAGAGAUUUGAAGCCCGGUGGCUUAGAGAGGAUCAAUUUUCAGAGUUGGUACAAACCUCAUGGGAUAAUGUGAAAAAUGAUACUUUGGUGCCAGGUAUUUUUCAGAAGCUGUCACGCAUGCACUCGGUCUUCUAUGACCGGGACCAACGAGUCCUAAAGAAACCAGAAAAGAGGUUGAAGAAGGCACAAAGGGAGUUGGAGGAGGCAAUGUCGGGUCCCAUGACUGAUGAGAAUGAAUUAAAGAGGAAGGAACUAGCUGAAUUAGUGGAAUAUUUGCUCGAAUUGGAAGAGAUCCAGACUAUCCAAUGUUCAAGAGUUGACUGGUUAAAGUUUGGAGACCGGAAUACGGCUUUCUUCCAGGCUUUUGCAGCGGCAAGACAGAAGAAGAAUUAUAUUAAAAACUGA
Molecule: ribosomal RNA, 762 nt
Filed under: Triticum aestivum (bread wheat)
Lineage: Eukaryota; Viridiplantae; Streptophyta; Magnoliopsida; Poales; Poaceae
Description: partial small subunit ribosomal RNA
Source: RNAcentral